GAUCUUGAAGACGCAAUUUUAGCCUGCCACGAUAGUUUUUGUGCAACAUGUGUUGACUCUGCAGAGGGAGUGGCUUUUGGGCGGCAAAUACGAUCAAGUGCGAGAUCGAGGUGGCAUUCACGUUGUUGUUUUUGUUGCCGUGUCCCGAGCAGAACAAAACGCCUCUGUAAAGCAGGCUUUGCCUUGUGCAUGAAUGGUGCUGUAGAAGGAAACUUGGGAAAAGAGGGGACAAUGCACAUUCGAGGGGCUCUUCUCCUCCUCUGCAUGAUCCAAGUGGCUCGGUCGCAGAAAUGGAAACAGGAAACGCCACAUUGGUACCCAAAAGGGGGGGUUAAUAUAGAACGGAAAGAUGGCAAGGCUUGCAGCAACUUGACCCAAAUACUGGACAACUGGAAAUUUGCCAUUUUAACUCGCAUGAAGGAGCUGCUCAUCAAUGACCACG
This is a long non-coding RNA of Hippocampus comes (tiger tail seahorse), 442 nucleotides long. RefSeq lists it as uncharacterized. The record is from RefSeq and is a predicted model, not a curated record. Lineage: Eukaryota; Metazoa; Chordata; Actinopteri; Syngnathiformes; Syngnathidae. The transcript is spliced from 3 exons.